Molecule: long non-coding RNA, 2754 nt
Filed under: Mus musculus (house mouse)
Lineage: Eukaryota; Metazoa; Chordata; Mammalia; Rodentia; Muridae
Description: long non-coding RNA chr3:86000946-86003700
Source: RNAcentral
AUGUCAUUCAUUAAUACAUAAUAAAACAUCUUACAUUAAACUCACUGAACAGAAAGCUUUCCAGAGUGGUGGUAAGGCUAAAAUUUACAAUUAUCUGCCAGCAAGCAGGUCUCUUCAUAAUUAUAUACCUUCCUGCCUAUGGCAACUGACGUUUACCUUUUACUUGGUGGUUCAAGGUCAUCGUCAGGGCAUCCCGCGUGUUCACUUGUGAUACAGUGGUGCUGGGAGAUGCGUUUGAGAUGUAUAGACUCUUUAUUUUUAUGUUGUUUUCUUUAACUGAGUUGUCAUUUUACAAAACGUGUGUAUCUCUUGUGCUACCUCUUACCUCUUUGCUACUGAUAGCGUGCCCUUGUUUUAAUCAACUGUGGGCCAGAGAAUUAACCGAACAAGUUACUUAUUAUGCCAGAAGUGCCUCUAGUUUCCUCUGCCUGAAGUGCAAUUUUCCCAGGCCUGGGUCUUAUCUAACUUGCUCAUUUCCAUGAAGUCUUCCUCUCUUGAGGGUGUGAAGAUAGCCCUGAGCACAGGUAUAUUUUUUCACUUGGGCAUAUCCUUAUCAAGUAGACUCAGACCUGUGGGAAAAUGGCAGCACCCCUCACUUCUCGGGGUAAGGCUCAGAGGGAUGGCAAACCUUCUCUGGUUCAUAUGUGGAUGUUGAUAGUUUGGGCAGAAAAUGCCCACUGUAGCUUUCUCCCACCAUGUUUAUGGCCUGAAGGAUGCUCCCCAACAAAGACAAGUAGAUUAGCUAAACCUGCCUCCUCAAUCCAGCAUUACACCAUACAGCCUGCCUCUUUGUUUACGGGUAUGUAAUAAGCCCACCUUUUUAUUCAACUGUAUAUAAUAAACAUGCCAAGCUGCUGCAGCUCCGGUCACCCAACCCCAGCUUUUCUGUGUGUCUGUGUAUGUGUGUUUGUCCUUUCCUCAUUCCCUCAAGUCCCCAGCCAGGUGGGUCCCUGGAAUGGCACCUGGGAGACCCCUUGUGCUACUGGGGCUGGAACGCAUUGGCCAUGAGUUCCACCAGCUGAGCCACUACCCAGUUUCUUUCAAGUAUCUGCUUAAAUUGUUCCUCUGGGAGAGGCCACUUUAUACUAACCAGUUACCUUUUUUUGUUCUUUUGUGUUAUGUAAGUUAGGUCAGCCUAGAAUUCGCAAAUGUAGCCCAGUCUGGCCUCAAACAUAGGAUCUUCUGGGUACAGCUCUUCUGAAUGUCGGGAUUACAGGCCUCUAUUGUCCCUGAACCUUAGGUGCUCUUUUCCUCUCAUGACAUUACUACCCAUUGUUAUGCUUGGUAAUUUACAUUUUCAAUACGUGCACUGAUUAGAAGUCCCAUGAAAGCAAGGACCUUAGUUUUGUUUACUGCUUUUAUCGAACCACGGACAGUAACCUCGCGGGAGUUUCUUGGACAAUGCCACUCACAAGUAAUGCCCACACGUUAUCAUCUGAUUCCUUCCUGAGGCCCAAAAACCUCUGCUUUUCUCCCCUCUUGGCUCUGGCCCUGGGGCUCACCCAGAAAAAGCAGCAGCAGAACCUUAAGGCCAGCAGGGCCCAUGCUUCUGUCCUCAUUGCAGUACUUCCGGCUUCCGGGACUCAGGCUCCUGUCGGAAGGCCGCUGAGAAGUAGCCGCGGAAGGGGCAGGACCAGCUGCUCCCGCUAGGUGGCGCUCUCAGCGUUUUCCCCUUCGCCUGGGCCGGACUGCAAGGGAUUUAAGCCGAGCGGCUGCGGGACUGUGCAGCGCCCCCUACUGUCUUGGGGGAGCCACUGUGGAGUUUUGUUGUUUCUUUUUGUUUUGUUUUUGCCGAAGGUGGGGGUAGAGGGUAUUGGGAAGGAUUAAGAUCUUGUCUGUCCAUAGCACAAAGUGGAAGUGGGCAGGAUUCGAGCAUUAGUCAAAAUACACACACACACACACACACACACACACACACAUAAAAGAGGAAAUUAACCCACUCUCUGAGUUAAAUCCGUUUGUUUUUACAAAUCAGGUUUUCUGGAAACUAAAGUCUUCGGCAAUGCUCUGUGUAUGGGACAUUUAUUGUAGUGUGGUCUCGGUGUUCACACCUGGGUUUGUGUGGAAAGCCAAUAAGGGAGUUAACCUAGGACAGCCCUUGAAGACGAGAACUGGGAGGACGUGGGUUUGUGGUAGCUUGAGAGCUUAUAAGCAGGAUUGUUGAGUGUCUCCACGCAGAUUCCUGGCAUUCUUACAUUAAAAUGGCUCAACUACAGUCCAUACCACCUGCCCAAGAGCUUCCUUUUAUUCAACUUAAAUUCCUAAGAGGCUUUAUUGGUGCAGAUGAUCUGUUCUUACCAGGAUGUAGGUUCUCCUGGCAGUGAAGUACCAACCCUCAUAUAAAAGGAGCUGGGAGGGGAUAUGGAAAUGUGUCAGAGUAGGCCAGCAGGUUUUUUAGUGAUAUUGCCCUCAGCCUGACUCCUCCCGUGCAUGUGGACGGGACAGAUUUUUUUUCUGUCCCCUGUCUUUGAGCUGAAAACAUUCACUCAGGGUUUGUACCAAUUGCUAUGAUUUUUAUCAUCUUAUAAUUUGUGACUUCCUGCUUUUCAUCUUAAUUUUUUUUUUUUUGAAGAAAAAAAAAACCACUUGUUUUAAUCACAAUCACCUUUGUGGUUAUUUCAAAUAAUUUCUGGUUUUCACAGACAGUUUUAACCGUGAAUGUGGCUUUUUAAAAGGUCAGGGAGCUGGGGAUAGCUGCAUAGCCGAGUGUUUACUUCACAUAUGAAGGGCCCCGGGUUCUACCCCAAGCACUGU